GACGAACGCUGGCGGCGUGCUUAACACAUGCAAGUCGAACGGAAAGGCCCUGCUUUUGUGGGUUGCUCGAGUGGCGAACGGGUGAGUAACACGUGAGUAACCUGCCCUUGACUUUGGGAUAACUUCAGGAAACUGGGGCUAAUACCGGAUAGGAGCUCCUGCUGCAUGUUGGGGGUUGGAAAGUUUCGGCGGUUGGGGAUGGACUCGCGGCUUAUCAGCUUGUUGGUGGGGUAGUGGCUUACCAAGGCUUUGACGGGUAGCCGGCCUGAGAGGGUGACCGGCCACAUUGGGACUGAGAUACGGCCCAGACUCCUACGGGAGGCAGCAGUGGGGAAUAUUGCACAAUGGGCGGAAGCCUGAUGCAGCAACGCCGCGUGCGGGAUGACGGCCUUCGGGUUGUAAACCGCUUUCGCCUGUGACGAAGCGUGAGUGACGGUAAUGGGUAAAGAAGCACCGGCUAACUACGUG
Molecule: ribosomal RNA, 468 nt
Filed under: uncultured bacterium
Lineage: Bacteria
Description: partial 16S ribosomal RNA
Rfam family: Bacterial small subunit ribosomal RNA
Source: RNAcentral